GAGAAUGCCGGUGUGAGUAGCGAAAGACGGGUGAGAAUCCCGUCCACCGAUUGACUAAGGUUUCCAGAGGAAGGCUCGUCCGCUCUGGGUUAGUCGGGUCCUAAGCUGAGGCCGACAGGCGUAGGCGAUGGAUAACAGGUUGAUAUUCCUGUACCACCUAUAAUCGUUUUAAUCGAUGGGGGGACGCAGUAGGAUAGGCGAAGCGUGCGAUUGGAUUGCACGUCUAAGCAGUAAGGCUGAGUAUUAGGCAAAUCCGGUACUCGUUAAGGCUGAGCUGUGAUGGGGAGAAGACAUUGUGUCUUCGAGUCGUUGAUUUCACACUGCCGAGAAAAGCCUCUAGAUAGAAAAUAGGUGCCCGUACCGCAAACCGACACAGGUAGUCAAGAUGAGAAUUCUAAGGUGAGCGAGCGAACUCUCGUUAAGGAACUCGGCAAAAUGACCCCGUAACUUCGGGAGAAGGGGUGCUCUUUAGGGUUAACGCCCAGAAGAGCCGCAGUGAAUAGGCCCAAGCGACUGUUUAUCAAAAACACAGGUCUCUGCUAAACCGUAAGGUGAUGUAUAGGGGCUGACGCCUGCCCGGUGCUGGAAGGUUAAGAGGAGUGGUUAGCUUCUGCGAAGCUACGAAUCGAAGCCCCAGUAAACGGCGGCCGUAACUAUAACGGUCCUAAGGUAGCGAAAUUCCUUGUCGGGUAAGUUCCGACCCGCACGAAAGGCGUAACGAUUUGGGCACUGUCUCAACGAGAGACUCGGUGAAAUCAUAGUACCUGUGAAGAUGCAGGUUACCCGCGACAGGACGGAAAGACCCCGUGGAGCUUUACUGUAGCCUGAUAUUGAAAUUCGGCACAGCUUGUACAGGAUAGGUAGGAGCCUUUGAAACGUGAGCGCUAGCUUACGUGGAGGCGCUGGUGGGAUACUACCCUAGCUGUG
RNAcentral lists this ribosomal RNA (927 nucleotides) under Staphylococcus aureus. RNAcentral describes it as "partial 23S ribosomal RNA". It matches the Rfam family "Bacterial large subunit ribosomal RNA", at positions 1290 to 2213 of the family's 2925-position model. The record is from RNAcentral. Lineage: Bacteria; Bacillati; Bacillota; Bacilli; Caryophanales; Staphylococcaceae.